This 72-nucleotide transfer RNA is filed under the name bacterium. RNAcentral describes it as "tRNA-Glu". It matches the Rfam family "tRNA". From Rfam's summary of the family: Transfer RNA (tRNA) molecules are approximately 80 nucleotides in length. The record is from RNAcentral.
GGCGCUAUCGUCUAGUGGUCAGGACGUAUGGUUCUCAUCCAUACAACCUCGGUUCGAAUCCGAGUAGCGUCA